Molecule: ribosomal RNA, 492 nt
Filed under: uncultured bacterium
Lineage: Bacteria
Description: partial 16S ribosomal RNA
Rfam family: Bacterial small subunit ribosomal RNA
Source: RNAcentral
AGUGAACGCUGGCGGUAGGCCUAACACAUGCAAGUCGAACGGCAGCACAGUAAGAGCUUGCUCUUACGGGUGGCGAGUGGCGGACGGGUGAGGAAUACAUCGGAAUCUACUUUUUCGUGGGGGAUAACGUAGGGAAACUUACGCUAAUACCGCAUACGACCUACGGGUGAAAGCAGGGGAUCUUCCGACCUUGCGCGAUUGAAUGAGCCGAUGUCGGAUUAGCUAGUUGGCGGGGUAAAGGCCCACCAAGGCGACGAUCCGUAGCUGGUCUGAGAGGAUGAUCGGCCACACUGGAACUGAGACACGGUCCAGACUCCUACGGGAGGCAGCAGUAGGGAAUAUUGGACAAUGGGCGCAAGCCUGAUCCAGCCAUACCGCGUGGGUGAAGAAGGCCUUCGGGUUGUAAAGCCCUUUUGUUGGGAAAGAAAAGCAGCAGGUUAAUACCCCGCUGUUCUGACGGUACCCAAAGAAUAAGCACCGGCUAACUUCGUG